This 1520-nucleotide ribosomal RNA is filed under the name uncultured Bordetella sp. RNAcentral's name for it is "partial 16S-23S ribosomal RNA intergenic spacer". It matches the Rfam family "Bacterial small subunit ribosomal RNA". The record is from RNAcentral. Lineage: Bacteria; Pseudomonadati; Pseudomonadota; Betaproteobacteria; Burkholderiales; Alcaligenaceae.
GACCGCCCGUUUCGGUUACGUAUUGCUCUGGGAGCAUGGAGGUAUCUUUCAGAGGUUCGAUCAUGGCUCAGAUUGAACGCUGGCGGGAUGCUUUACACAUGCAAGUCGAACGGCAGCACGGACUUCGGUCUGGUGGCGAGUGGCGAACGGGUGAUAUGUAUCGGAACGUGCCCUGGCAGCAGGAUAUGUGGCGUAGCCUCAGCCAUACGCCCGCUGGAAAGCGGGGACCUUCGGGCCUCGCACUAUUAAACAUGACCGAUAUCGGAUUAGCUAGUUGGUGGGGUAACGGCUCACCAAGGCGACGUCCAGCCAGCAGCUGGUUUGAGGACGACCAGCCACACCGUUUGAACUACGGCCCAGACUCUGCGGAGAGGCAACGGUGAAAUUUUGGACAAUGCGGAAACCUGAUCGACCAUCCGCGUGCGCGAUGAAGGCCUUCAGUUAUCAUACUUUUGGCGGAAAAGAAACGGCACAAGGUUAACCACGCGCAACUGACGUACCUGCAGAAUAAGCACAACUAACUACAUUACUGCGCCAGCGCGGUAAUACAGCGGGUAAAGCAUUAAUCGGAAUUACUGGGCGUAAAGCGUGCGCGAGCGGUUCGGAAAGAAAGAUGUGAAAUCCCAGAGCUUAACUUUGGAACUACAUUUUUUUAGCGCUACCGAGCUAGAGUGUGUCGAGGAGGUGGGAGUCCGCGUGUAGCAGGAGAAUGCGUAGAUAUGCGGAGAGACACCGAUGGCGAAGGCAACCUCCUGGGAUAACACUGACGCUCAUGCACAGCCAGUAAGGGAGCAAACGGGAUUAGAUACCCUGGUAGUCCACGCCCUAAACGAUGUCAACUAGCUGUUGAGGCCUUCGGGCCUUGGUAGCGCAGCUAACGCGUGAGUUGACCGCCUGGGGAGAGCGGUCGCAAGAUUAAAACUCAAAGAAAUUGACGGGGACCCGCACAAGCGGUGGAUGAUGUGGAUUAAUUCGAUGCAACGCGAAAAACCUUACUACCGCCAGAGGCGUAUGCGGAAUCCGAAGAGAUUUGGGAGUGCUCGCAAGGGAACCGGAACACAGGUGCUGCAUGGCUGUCGUCAGCUCGUGUCGUGAGAUGUUGGGUUAAGUCCCGCAACGAGCGCAACGCGUCCAUUAGUUGCUACGAAAGGGCACUCUAAUGAGACUGCCGGUGACAAACCGGAGGAAGGUGGGGAUGACGUCAAGUCCUCAUGGCCCUUAUGGAGCGUUGAGGGCUUCACACGUCAUACAAUGGUCGGGACAGAGGUCGCCAACCCGCGAGGGGAGCCAAUCCCAGAAACCGAUCGUAGUCCGGAUCGCAGUCUGCAACUCGACUGCGUGAAGUCGGAAUCCUUCAGUAAUCGCGGAUCAGCAUGUCGCGGUGAAUACGUUCCCGGGUCUUGUACACACAUCACACCAUGGGAGUAGGUUUUACCAGAAGUAGUUAGCCUAAACCGUAAGGAGGGCGAUUACCACGGUAGGAUUCAUGACUGGGGUGAAGUCGUAAUAAAGGAAUUAAG